This is a long non-coding RNA of Engraulis encrasicolus (European anchovy), 1090 nucleotides long. RefSeq lists it as uncharacterized. The transcript has 3 exons. The record is from RefSeq and is a predicted model, not a curated record. NCBI's taxonomy places the organism in Eukaryota, Metazoa, Chordata, Actinopteri, Clupeiformes, Engraulidae.
UUGGCAAGGGGUAAGCUGUGUUUUUUUCCUCCGUGUCACAAACUAUUUAAUGAUGUUUCUGUACUUUAAUUUCUCUGCUACUUUAUUGAUCUUUGAUGGGAAGAUAUUCUGUUACGUUUGUGUUGAUAUUUUCGUUGUAAUUUUCGCUCAAAGUAUGUACAUUAGCGCCAUUAAUGUCCGCGAUCGUUAUGAAGUUAACAGGUGCUAACGAGCAGAUUGGGAAGUAAAUAAAUGCUACUGGAUCGAGGCCCCUCGUCAUCUCUCCUGCCUCUUCAAUCAUCCAAAGACUGUUUAGUCUGUUAUUUUAAUGUAAUGGUCGGUUCAUGUCCGUUGCAUUGACUUGACUUGUCAUUGGGUCUGAUUUUAAAUGUGCCAUAUAGUUCAAUGUGGGAGCCGGUUCACACACUAAAUAAGACACUAAGGUCAAGCACAAGCAGAUUUUUUGUUUUAUUUUUCUCAGAGCAGAGUAGAGCAGAUGUUUCAGGUUGCUGCCAUCAGAGAGCAGUGACUUGACCUCAGUGUCUUAUUUAGUGUACUCCCACAUUGAACUCUACUUUUUGGGUCCACGCACCUACUUAUUUCUAAACAUCUAGAGUGCAACAAUACCCAUGCCUCCUAAUGUGCCAUAUAACCUGUAUCUCGCCUAUUGUGUGUGUGUGUGUGUGUGUGUGUGUGUGUGUGUGAGUGUGAGUGUGAGUGUGAGUGAGUGUUCGUGAAUGUGUUCACGCAGAUAUAAGAAGUUGGGGUUGGGGUUGAUGAUCCACAUGAUGGUGAUGGACCAGGACAGCUCUGGACCUCCUGACUGGCAGCUCCAUCCUCAACCUCCCUUCCUGUCCUUAAACACAUGUGCAGGCAGAGGCAGUUUUCUGAAGGAUGGUUAAUGUCAGUAUCAACAUGUUGUGAUGGAGGCUUCCACCUGAGCUGAACACAGAAACUUGCACACAGUGAUGGAAGCAGUCGUUCCUGUUCAGCAUUGAUAUGCCGGUAAUGGGUUUGAUGAGCCACAGCGUGGUGAUGGGCAAUCAGCAUCAGGACCAGGGCCGCUCACAAGGAGAACCUCCUGCCCUGCCUCUUCAUCCUCAACCUCCAA